UACGUAGGUGGCAAGCGUUAUCCGGAAUUAUUGGGCGUAAAGAGGGAGCAGGCGGUCUUUUAAGUCUGAUGUGAAAGCCUUCGGCUUAACCGGAGUAGUGCAUUGGAAACUGGGAGACUUGAGUGCAGAAGAGGAGAGUGGAACUCCAUGUGUAGCGGUGAAAUGCGUAGAUAUAUGGAAGAACGCCAGUGGCGAAAGCGGCUCUCUGGUCUGUAACUGACGCUGAGGUUCGAAAGCGUGGGUAGCAAACAGG
This 253-nucleotide ribosomal RNA is filed under the name uncultured bacterium. RNAcentral describes it as "partial 16S ribosomal RNA". It matches the Rfam family "Bacterial small subunit ribosomal RNA", at positions 524 to 776 of the family's 1533-position model. The record is from RNAcentral.